Seriola dumerili (greater amberjack) is the source of this 539-nucleotide long non-coding RNA. RefSeq lists it as uncharacterized. NCBI's taxonomy places the organism in Eukaryota, Metazoa, Chordata, Actinopteri, Carangiformes, Carangidae. The record is from RefSeq and is a predicted model, not a curated record. The transcript is spliced from 3 exons.
UGCUAACUGGCACAAAGUAUGACUGAGGCUGAUGGGAAUGUCAUUAGUUUUGCAGGUAUUUGGUUAUAGACAAAAGUAUUGGACAAAGAACGAUGAUGACCUGAUGGUGGAUCAGCAAAGUGAUAACAAUCAAGAUAUUCCGCUAAAAAACAGAAACAUCAACCUCAUAGUGGCACUAGAGGAAAAAUAAUUAGACGCUCACCAAAGUCAUCAGGAAACCCAACUUAAAAUUACGAUCACAUUGCGGUUUAUUUCCAUCUUUACGCCAAAUAACUCUGUGCUUUACGGUCUUAUCUUUAGCUAAUGUUCAAUUCAAACUGGAAAUUAUUAAAUAUAAAUAAAGUACAGAGGUGACAUUAUCUGAACAUUUUUUUUUAAUUACUUUAAAAAGAAAACAAAAACAACAUGCAAAUAAAUUUUAGUCUAACUUAACUUGGGUUGAUCUGUCCGUAACUCGACUGGAAUAGUUGGAAAUAACACUGGGUGGCUUCAGCAUGUAGAAUGAUAGGCCUCCAUUUCACAUGCAGUCAUGCAGUUUG